GGCGAACGGUCGCGUAACACGUAAGCAACCUGCCCUGAAGUGGGGGACAACAUCCCGAAAGGGGUGCUAAUACCGCAUGUGGUCACGAGUCGGCAUCGACUUGUGUCUAAAGAUUUAUCGCUUCAGGAUGGGCUUGCGGCCUAUCAGGUAGUUGGUGGGGUAAUGGCCUACCAAGCCGACGACGGGUAGCUGGUCUGAGAGGACGAUCAGCCGGAUUGGGACUGAGAUACGGCCCAGACUCCUACGGGGGGCAGCAAUUAGGAAUCUUGCGCAAUGGGGGAAACCCUGACGCAGCGACGUCGCGUGAAGGAUGAAGGCCCUCGGGUCGUAAACUUCUUUUGAGUGGGAAGAAAUUUGACGGUACCACUCGAAUAAGCCCCGGCUAACUACGUGCCAGCAGCCGCGGUAAUACGUAGGGGGCGAGCGUUGUCCGAAGUUACUGGGCGUAAAGCGCGCGUAGGCGGUUAUUUAAGUCUGGGGUGAAAGGUUCAGCGCUCAACGUGAACAGUG
RNAcentral lists this ribosomal RNA (510 nucleotides) under uncultured bacterium. Its description in RNAcentral is "bacterial SSU rRNA". It matches the Rfam family "Bacterial small subunit ribosomal RNA", at positions 97 to 623 of the family's 1533-position model. The record is from RNAcentral.